This 164-nucleotide small nuclear RNA is filed under the name Pogona vitticeps (central bearded dragon). RNAcentral describes it as "U1 spliceosomal RNA (ENSPVIG00000006030.1)". It matches the Rfam family "U1 spliceosomal RNA". Rfam says of the family: U1 is a small nuclear RNA (snRNA) component of the spliceosome (involved in pre-mRNA splicing). Its 5' end forms complementary base pairs with the 5' splice junction, thus defining the 5' donor site of an intron. Lineage: Eukaryota; Metazoa; Chordata; Lepidosauria; Squamata; Agamidae. The record is from Rfam by way of RNAcentral.
AUACUUACUUGGCAGGGGAGGUACCAUGAUCAUGAAGGUGGUUUUCCCAGGUUGAGGCUCACCCAUUGCAUUUCAGGUAUGCUGAUCCCUAUGAUUUCCCCAAAUGUGGGAAACUUGACUGCAUAAUUUGUGAUAGUGGGGGACUGUGUUUGUGCUUUCCCAUG